Molecule: ribosomal RNA, 492 nt
Filed under: uncultured bacterium
Lineage: Bacteria
Description: partial 16S ribosomal RNA
Rfam family: Bacterial small subunit ribosomal RNA
Source: RNAcentral
AGUGAACGCUGGCGGUAGGCCUAACACAUGCAAGUCGAACGGCAGCACAGUAAGAGCUUGCUCUUACGGGUGGCGAGUGGCGGACGGGUGAGGAAUACAUCGGAAUCUACUUUUUCGUGGGGGAUAACGUAGGGAAACUUACGCUAAUACCGCAUACGACCUACGGGUGAAAGCAGGGGAACUUCGGACCUUGCGCGAUUGAAUGAGCCGAUGUCGGAUUAGCUAGUUGGCGGGGUAAAGGCCCACCAAGGCGACGAUCCGUAGCUGGUCUGAGAGGAUGAUGAGCCACACUGGAACUGAGACACGGUCCAGACUCCUACGGAGGGCAGCAGUGGGGAAUAUUGGACGAUGGGCGCAAGCCUGAUCCAGCCAUACCGCGUGGGUGAAGAAGGCCUUCGGGUUGUAAAGCCCUUUUGUUGGGAAAGAAAAGCAGCAGGUUAAUACCCCGCUGUUCUGACGGUACCCAAAGAAUAAGCACCGGCUAACUUCGUG